GCAAUACGGCAGCGGCAGACGGGAGAGUAACACGUGGGAACGUGCCCAUCAGUUCGGAACAACCCAGGGAAACUUGGGCUAAUACCGGAUACGCCCUUACGGGGAAAGAUUUAUCGCUGAUGGAGCGGCCCGCGUCUGAUUAGCUUGUUGGUGAGGUAACGGCUCACCAAGGCGACGAUCAGUAGCUGGUCUGAGAGGAUGAUCAGCCUCACUGGGACUGAGACACGGCCCAGACUCCUACGGGAGGCAGCAGUGGGGAAUAUUGGACAAUGGGCGCAAGCCUGAUCCAGCCAUGCCGCGUGGAUGAUGAAGGCCCUAGGG
Molecule: ribosomal RNA, 321 nt
Filed under: uncultured bacterium
Lineage: Bacteria
Description: bacterial SSU rRNA
Rfam family: Bacterial small subunit ribosomal RNA
Source: RNAcentral